AUUGAACGCUGGCGGCAGGCUUAACACAUGCAAGUCCGAACGGUAACAUGAAGAAGCUUGCUUCUUUGAUGACGAGUGGCGGACGGGUGAGUAAUGCUUGGGAAUCUAGCUUAUGGAGGGGGAUAACUACGGGAAACUGUAGCUAAUACCCGCGUAGAAUCGAGAGAUGAAAGUGUGGGACCUUCGGGCCACAUGCCAUAGGAUGAGCCCAAGUGGGAUUAGGUAGUUGGUGAGGUAAAGGCUCACCAAGCCGACGAUCUCUAGCUGGUCUGAGAGGAUGACCAGCCACACUGGGACUGAGACACGGCCCAGACUCCUACGGGAGGCAGCAGUGGGGAAUAUUGCGCAAUGGGGGCAACCCUGACGCAGCCAUCCGCGUGAAUGAAGAAGGCCUUCGGGUUGUAAAGUUCUUUCGGUAGCGAGGAAGGCAUUUAGUUUAAUAGACUAAG
Molecule: ribosomal RNA, 449 nt
Filed under: Terrahaemophilus aromaticivorans
Lineage: Bacteria; Pseudomonadati; Pseudomonadota; Gammaproteobacteria; Pasteurellales; Pasteurellaceae
Description: bacterial SSU rRNA
Rfam family: Bacterial small subunit ribosomal RNA
Source: RNAcentral